Molecule: non-coding RNA, 54 nt
Organism: Salmo salar (Atlantic salmon)
Lineage: Eukaryota; Metazoa; Chordata; Actinopteri; Salmoniformes; Salmonidae
Source: Rfam
AAUGCACCAAUUUGUAAGUCGCUUGGGAUAAGAGCGUCUGCUAAAUGACGUAAA